Molecule: transfer RNA, 66 nt
Filed under: Marmota monax (woodchuck)
Lineage: Eukaryota; Metazoa; Chordata; Mammalia; Rodentia; Sciuridae
Description: tRNA.Undet
Rfam family: tRNA
About the family: Transfer RNA (tRNA) molecules are approximately 80 nucleotides in length. Their secondary structure includes four short double-helical elements and three loops (D, anti-codon, and T loops).
Source: RNAcentral
GGUUGUAGCUCAGUGGUAGAGUGCUUGCUUGCAUGCAUGAGGCCCUGGGUUUGAUCCUCAGCACCA